This 431-nucleotide ribosomal RNA is filed under the name uncultured bacterium. RNAcentral describes it as "bacterial SSU rRNA". It matches the Rfam family "Bacterial small subunit ribosomal RNA", at positions 42 to 469 of the family's 1533-position model. The record is from RNAcentral.
UCAGGCCUAACACAUGCAAGUCGAACGGCAGCACGGGUGCUUGCACCUGGUGGCGAGUGGCGAACGGGUGAGUAAUACAUCGGAACAUACCUUAUCGUGGGGGAUAACGCAGCGAAAGUUGCGCUAAUACCGCAUACGCCCUGAGGGGGAAAGCGGGGGACCGUAAGGCCUCGCGCGAUUAGAGCGGCCGAUGUCUGAUUAGCUUGUUGGUGAGGUAAAAGCUCACCAAGGCGAUGAUCAGUAGCUGGUCUGAGAGGACGAUCAGCCACACUGGGACUGAGACACGGCCCAGACUCCUACGGGAGGCAGCAGUGGGGAAUUUUGGACAAUGGGGGCAACCCUGAUCCAGCAAUGCCGCGUGAGUGAAGAAGGCCUUCGGGUUGUAAAGCUCUUUGUCAGGGAAGAAACAGCAGCUCUAACACAGUUUGCGA